This 598-nucleotide ribosomal RNA is filed under the name uncultured Gammaproteobacteria bacterium. RNAcentral describes it as "partial 16S ribosomal RNA". The record is from RNAcentral. Lineage: Bacteria; Pseudomonadati; Pseudomonadota; Gammaproteobacteria.
UUGGGAGCUCUCCCAUAUGGUCGACCUGCAGGCGGCCGCGAAUUCACUAGUGAUUCGUAUUACCGCGGCUGCUGGCACAGAGUUAGCCGGUGCUUAUUCUGUCGGUAACGUCAAAACACUAACGUAUUAGGUUAAUGCCCUUCCUCCCAACUUAAAGUGCUUUACAAUCCGAAGACCUUCUUCACACACGCGGCAUGGCUGGAUCAGGCUUUCGCCCAUUGUCCAAUAUUCCCCACUGCUGCCUCCCGUAGGAGUCUGGACCGUGUCUCAGUUCCAGUGUGACUGAUCAUCCUCUCAGACCAGUUACGGAUCGUCGCCUUGGUGAGCCAUUACCCCACCAACUAGCUAAUCCGACCUAGGCUCAUCUGAUAGCGCAAGGCCCGAAGGUCCCCUGCUUUCUCCCGUAGGACGUAUGCGGUAUUAGCGUCCGUUUCCGAGCGUUAUCCCCCACUACCAGGCAGAUUCCUAGGCAUUACUCACCCGUCCGCCGCUCUCAAGAGGUGCAAGCACCUCUCUAACGCUCGACUUGCAUGUGUUAGGCCUGCCCCCAGCGUUCAAUCUGAGCCAUGAUCAAACUCUAAUCGAAUUCCCGCGGCCG